UACGUAGGGGGCAAGCGUUGUCCGGAAUCAUUGGGCGUAAAGAGCGUGUAGGCGGCCAGAUAAGUCCGCUGUGAAAUCUCGAGGCUCAACUUCGAGCUGUCGGUGGAAACUGUCUGGCUAGAGUCCGGAAGAGGAGAAUGGAAUUCCUGGUGUAGCGGUGAAAUGCGUAGAUAUCUGGAGGAACACCGGUGGCGAAGGCGGCAUCCUGGACCAACACUGACGCUGAGGAGCGAAAGCCAGGGGAGCAAACGGG
This 253-nucleotide ribosomal RNA is filed under the name uncultured bacterium. RNAcentral's name for it is "partial 16S ribosomal RNA". It matches the Rfam family "Bacterial small subunit ribosomal RNA", at positions 524 to 776 of the family's 1533-position model. The record is from RNAcentral.